GAUGAACGCUGGCGGCGUGCCUAAUACAUGCAAGUCGAGCGAACAGACGAGGAGCUUGCUCCUCUGACGUUAGCGGCGGACGGGUGAGUAACACGUGGAUAACCUACCUAUAAGACUGGGAUAACUUCGGGAAACCGGAGCUAAUACCGGAUAAUAUAUUGAACCGCAUGGUUCAAUAGUGAAAGACGGUUUUGCUGUCACUUAUAGAUAGAUCCGCGCCGCAUUAGCUAGUUGGUAAGGUAACGGCUUACCAAGGCAACGAUGCGUAGCCGACCUGAGAGGGUGAUCGGCCACACGGGAACUGAGACACGGUCCAGACUCCUACGGGAGGCAGCAGUAGGGAAUCUUCCGCAAUGGGCGAAAGCUUGACGGAGCAACGCCGCGUGAGUGAUGAAGGUCUUCGGAUCGUAGAACUCUGUUAUUAGGGAAGAACAAAUGUGUAAGUAACUAUGCACGUCUUGACGGUACCUAAUCAGAAAGCCACGGCUAACUACGUG
This 497-nucleotide ribosomal RNA is filed under the name uncultured bacterium. Its description in RNAcentral is "partial 16S ribosomal RNA". It matches the Rfam family "Bacterial small subunit ribosomal RNA", at positions 28 to 507 of the family's 1533-position model. The record is from RNAcentral.